Molecule: ribosomal RNA, 254 nt
Filed under: uncultured bacterium
Lineage: Bacteria
Description: partial 16S ribosomal RNA
Rfam family: Bacterial small subunit ribosomal RNA
Source: RNAcentral
UACGUAGGGGGCGAGCGUUGUCCGGAUUUAUUGGGCGUAAAGAGCUCGUAGGCGGUUUGGUAAGUCGGGUGUGAAAUCUCCACGCUCAACGUGGAGGGGCCACUCGAUACUGCCAUGACUCGAGUCCGGUAGAGGAGUGUGGAAUUCCCGGUGUAGCGGUGAAAUGCGCAGAUAUCGGGAGGAACACCAGUGGCGAAGGCGACUACCUGGCCUGUUCUUGACGCUGAGGCGCGAAAGCUAGGGGAGCAAACGGG